GAGGGUUUGAUCCUGGCUCAGAUUGAACGCUGGCGGCAGGCCUAACACAUGCAAGUCGAGCGGAUGAAGGGAGCUUGCUCCUGGAUUCAGCGGCGGACGGGUGAGUAAUGCCUAGGAAUCUGCCUGGUAGUGGGGGAUAACGUCCGGAAACGGGCGCUAAUACCGCAUACGUCCUGAGGGAGAAAGUGGGGGAUCUUCGGACCUCACGCUAUCAGAUGAGCCUAGGUCGGAUUAGCUAGUUGGUGGGGUAAAGGCCUACCAAGGCGACGAUCCGUAACUGGUCUGAGAGGAUGAUCAGUCACACUGGAACUGAGACGCGGUCCAGACUCCUACGGGAGGCAGCAGUGGGGAAUAUUGGACAAUGGGCGAAAGCCUGAUCCAGCCAUGCCGCGUGUGUGAAGAAGGUCUUCGGAUUGUAAAGCACUUUAAGUUGGGAGGAAGGGCAGUAAGUUAAUACCUUGCUGUUUUGACGUUACCAACAGAAUAAGCACCGGCUAACUUCGUGCCAGCAGCCGCGGUAAUACGAAGGGUGCAAGCGUUAAUCGGAAUUACUGGGCGUAAAGCGCGCGUAGGUGGUUCAGCAAGUUGGAUGUGAAAUCCCCGGGCUCAACCUGGGAACUGCAUCCAAAACUACUGAGCUAGAGUACGGUAGAGGGUGGUGGAAUUUCCUGUGUAGCGGUGAAAUGCGUAGAUAUAGGAAGGAACACCAGUGGCGAAGGCGACCACCUGGACUGAUACUGACACUGAGGUGCGAAAGCGUGGGGAGCAAACAGGAUUAGAUACCCUGGUAGUCCACGCCGUAAACGAUGUCGACUAGCCGUUGGGAUCCUUGAGAUCUUAGUGGCGCAGCUAACGCGAUAAGUCGACCGCCUGGGGAGUACGGCCGCAAGGUUAAAACUCAAAGGAAUUGACGGC
This 915-nucleotide ribosomal RNA is filed under the name uncultured bacterium. RNAcentral's name for it is "bacterial SSU rRNA". It matches the Rfam family "Bacterial small subunit ribosomal RNA", at positions 8 to 917 of the family's 1533-position model. The record is from RNAcentral.